Molecule: ribosomal RNA, 599 nt
Filed under: Veillonella sp.
Lineage: Bacteria; Bacillati; Bacillota; Negativicutes; Veillonellales; Veillonellaceae
Description: bacterial SSU rRNA
Rfam family: Bacterial small subunit ribosomal RNA
Source: RNAcentral
ACGAAAGCGAUGGAAGCUUGCUUCUAUCAAUCUUAGUGGCGAAUGGGUGAGUAACGCGUAAUCAACCUGCCCUUCAGAGGGGGACAACAGUUGGAAACGACUGCUAAUACCGCAUACGAUCUAAUCUCGGCAUCGAGGAUAGAUGAAAGGUGGCCUCUACAUGUAAGCUAUCACUGAAGGAGGGGAUUGCGUCUGAUUAGCUAGUUGGAGGGGUAACGGCCCACCAAGGCGAUGAUCAGUAGCCGGUCUGAGAGGAUGAACGGCCACAUUGGGACUGAGACACGGCCCAGAAUCCUACGGGAGGCAGCAGUGGGGAAUCUUCCGCAAUGGACGAAAGUCUGACGGAGUAACGCCGCGUGAGUGAUGACGGCCUUCGGGUUGUAAAGCUCUGUUAAUCGGGACGAAAGGCCUUCUUGCAAAUAGUGAGAAGGAUUGAUGGUACCGGAAUAGAAAGCCACGGCUAACUACGUGCCAGCAGCCGCGGUAAUACGCAGGUGGCAAGCGUUGUCCGAAAUUAUUGGGCGUAAAGCGCGCGCAGGCGGAUAGGUCAGCCUGUCUUAAAAGUUCGGGGCUUAACCCCGUGAUGGGAUGGACACUGC